GCGCCGGUGGCUCAACUGGAUAGAGCGCUCCCCUAACGAAGGAGAAGGUUGCGGGUUCAAAUCCCGUCCGGUGCG
Molecule: transfer RNA, 75 nt
Filed under: Rhodospirillaceae bacterium
Lineage: Bacteria; Pseudomonadati; Pseudomonadota; Alphaproteobacteria; Rhodospirillales; Rhodospirillaceae
Description: tRNA-Val
Rfam family: tRNA
About the family: Transfer RNA (tRNA) molecules are approximately 80 nucleotides in length. Their secondary structure includes four short double-helical elements and three loops (D, anti-codon, and T loops).
Source: RNAcentral